This 275-nucleotide small nuclear RNA is filed under the name Erinaceus europaeus (western European hedgehog). RNAcentral describes it as "7SK RNA". It matches the Rfam family "7SK RNA". From Rfam's summary of the family: 7SK was discovered as an abundant small nuclear RNA in the mid-70s but a possible function has only recently been suggested. Two independent studies have found that 7SK RNA binds the CDK9/cyclin T complex (known as elongation factor P-TEFb). P-TEFb activates transcription by phosphorylating the C-terminal domain of RNA polymerase II. The record is from Rfam by way of RNAcentral. Lineage: Eukaryota; Metazoa; Chordata; Mammalia; Eulipotyphla; Erinaceidae.
GGGUGCGAGGGUGACUUGGUUGUGACAUCUGUCACCCCACUGAUCUGACUGGCAAGGAAGGUGCCACCUUCUUCUUUCACUGCUCCGUGUGUGUCCCUCCUGAAUCCGCAUGCUUGGUAGAAGAGGAAACUGUCCCUGAAUAGGGUAGGACUGGUAUGAGUAGCUACGCUCUCCUGCUAGAACCUCCAGGCAAGCUUUCAAAACUUCUUCCAGUGUGAUAGGAUAGGACCUGGACUUAAACCUGUAUUGUGUUAAUGAGAAAGCAAUUACUUAGU